AUUCAGGAUGGACUGGGUUUGGAUCCUGGAUUUCUAACUCUAGAUGAGAGUAAAGUUAGCCCAGACCAGAGGAGAUGAGCUGGCUUUGGCUGCAAUUCAGAUGUCGUGCUUAAAACAUUCAUAUGGUGCCCAGAGGGGUCUCAAUAAAUAUUGAGGACAAGAAUAAUGAUGAAUCACUUUUCUCAAUAAUUAGGAAAUCUACAAUGCAC
Molecule: long non-coding RNA, 209 nt
Filed under: Sarcophilus harrisii (Tasmanian devil)
Lineage: Eukaryota; Metazoa; Chordata; Mammalia; Dasyuromorphia; Dasyuridae
Description: lncRNA (ENSSHAG00000024808.1)
Source: RNAcentral